AAGCAGCCUGGCAACGGCUCGCCCGGGGCUGGGGAGGGGGAGUGUGUAACACACAGGUGUUUCCCGAGGUUUCCCUGAACGGACCUCUGCGAAAAUCCACGUCGCCGGAGCAAGAGGUGCUCCCACGCUCCCUUUGCAGCUUUGGUUUGGUUUAAAAAUAAUCAGAACAAAGCAAAAACAAACAAACAAAAAAACCAACCAAACAAAAAGCCCAAAUGGCAUUAGUUCUUGCAAGCUCCAUGACCACGUUUAAAGACAAAUGUUACUGACAUUCAUAUUUGUAACUCCAUCGAAACCCCGCCAAUUACAGGACUGGAAAUCUCCCAAGCACGGCAAUAGCCCCAGAUAAGGUGCUGGGUUUUCACUUGCGCUUGAAAUUAGCUGCAUGGUAUUAUUACCUUACACCAUAGUCUUGUAAUGUUUUGGCUAUCUCAACCUCUACUUUUGAGAGUUUGGAAGCAUAAUUGGAGCAGGCUUUAAAGUUGUUUCCAAAAAUUUUAUUUAAAAAAAAAAAGGCCGUAAUUGAAAUUAUGCCAAUAAUCAAUGAGCCAUAACCUUGUCAGAAAGCUGCUUUUUCCCUAUAAACUUUGUUCCUGUUACAUCAGUGCUGUCAUGGACAAUCUUUAAAUUCUCCUGAAAAAGCAAAAACUCCUCUGAUUUAGUUAAAAUCUGUAAUGACUUUUGGUGUGUCAUUUCUCCAACACAAUCCUACCUAGGACCUCACAGAAGAAUCUGUAGCAGAGCUGCACAAAAGCUAGGUGAUCAAGGCUUUAGUCUAGGUUGGCUGCACACUUAGUAAAGCUCAUUAUAAACCUUAGUACAUACGUGCUUUUACAAAUUGUGAGAUUGCAGAGUUUUUGGGAACAAGCUGCAUUGAAGUGCACAAGUCAAUGCUUGUUAUUCCUGUGAAAAACUUGGGUGUUAGCCAGAUCCCUUUCUGGUAUCAAUAUUAUCAGAUAUCUAAGCAAACCAAGCUGUGACUCUAUGCAAUUGUGUGCAUCAGGACUAGAAAAUUUGGAGAGUUAAAAACAGUCCUUAGUUUGCUGAUGGUACAAAGACACCUUUCUGGUCUGGACCUGCUACAUGCUCCAGCACGGCUGCUGCAAUCGUGAUGGCAGGAGUUAAUAACAAAGUGAGCCAAAUAGGCUGGGUAAACUUUGCAUGUAGCAGUUCAAACAAAUCUUGACUCUUUCCUGAUGAAGUGGUGGAAUACAUGAUUAAUCGGUUGUAUGCAUCAAUAGGGCACAAUGCUAGCUACAAUAUAGAUGGAAAGGAGUUUUUUAUGCUGUUUAUUUAUUUUGUUCGAAUAGAUAAGGCAGCUCUUUUUAAAAGACAACUGGAAAUCGCUGCCCAAUGUCAAUUUCGUUUCUGUGUACUACUUUUUCACCUUCACUUUGAAGUAGUUUAUUUUGCUAAGAGUUCUACUAAGAAUUUUCAGUACCUGAAGCUAUUUGUCUUUUGAAAGAAGGAAAUAUCUUUUAGCACCACCAUCUCAUUUCCUUUUUGUCUGUGACAUUUUUAACUACUGUCCCCUCACUGAAAGCCCUCUUAAAACUCCUUAGACUUUUUAGCCUGUGUUCUUUUGAAUCAUGGAGGAGGUAAAAAAGAAGCAGUAUUCUGUUUAAUCUGGGCCCUUUCUUCAUAGAGCAUAGCAUGCUCUGGAAGCUGAGCAAUCUCAUUACGGCUAAUUUGGUGGGAGCUGAAGUGGCUCACUGAAGUGCACUGACCUGCAGCCUCAGCCCCGAAGUGGUGCAUGAAUGAACUGCUGACAUAGUUAGAGUAGAACAUUAAGAAUAAAAGGUUGAAUCUCAUUUUUUUCCUGCACCAGUUGUAAUACUUGAGUGUGUUUGUUAGGCUAAGUCAUGUGAAAUUGGGUAAAUUAAUUUUACCAAAGUAAAUGAGUAAAUCAGUUUUACUCGUUGAAGGUAAUAGAAUAGAAAGCUGUUAGGCUUUUCUGUGUAAACUAGUGGUUUAAACUAUAUCUAGUAGGGCUCAAGGAUUGGAUAUGGUAAAACCUGAACUUGGUAGCUCAAAGAUGGUACAGUGCAUUGAGUUGAUACUUUUAUGGGAAUGAGAUCUUGCUCCUGAGUGACAACUUUCCGCUCAGAACUCACCUGCCUAUAUUUAAAGCCAGGGCUCUUUUCUCCCUAUGUACAUAAUUUAUCUCAUUUUUACCUAUUGUUUCACUGACCACUCACUCUGUCUCAUAAGGUCUUUCUGCCCUCAUUUAUACCGCUUCCCUCAUUCUCACUACUAUGAAUACUUUCAUGAAUUGGCAAACUAUCAUAUCUCAUUGCUUCCUUCUCUGUCCAGGUUGUUGCUGAGAAAAGUCCUUAUAUUCUGAAAUUACAACCCAAUUAUAAUAAAUUAUGCAGAGGCAAAAAGACCAAAAUUUGCCAAGCCAGUAGUACCCACAAACACCUUACAUGCUGAUAUUGUCCAUGCUGAUUUCUGAAACUCUGAAUUUCUUGAAGAAAUCAAGAAACACCAAAUAUAUGAAUUUUUUCAAGUGAAGUGUCAAGCGCUGAGAUGGUAUAGUAAUACCUAGGAGAUCACUUCAUAUGAAUUUCAGUUCAUCCAAGUCUUUCACAUUGUAGAAGUUUUCAUUACUCAUUGAAUCCACGGGAACUUGGGGUUACUGGCUUUUAAAGUUCUUCAUAAUGAAAGACCAGUAAAUAAUUUAUCUAAAGCAAGAAAGAAGUCAUUAAUAUUACAUAUACCAGGAUGUCAUGUGUAACAGGUAUGUCUGUAUUUAGCACCACGCUGUUAUUGGUAGCCAUGGAACCUGAUCCUGUGUGGUGUUGCUCUGUUUUGAUACCUCUUUCAGACCAGAUUAAAUAGAUGAGGAAGGGUGCCAGUUUUAUGUGACACAACUCAGGUUGCAAAAUUAAUGUGUAAACAGAUCUAUUAUAUAGCAACUUCGAGUUGGUAAGUGAACAAAGACUUCAACAGUUUUGUCCCUUUUAAUACUUUGUGAGUAACUGUGGUUUAGGUGAAACUGAUAAUAAUUUUGUUGCAGAAAUGUUUAAAAAUUUGGUGGUUCAAAACUGAUAGUCAUUGUAAUACCUUGUUCGACUAAAAAAAAAAAAGUUGUCUUUUGUUCACAUCAAACCAUUUAAUAAUUACCAUAUGUUAAACUUAAAACCUUUAAAGAGCUAUGGUGGGGAAAGACAUAUGAGAUGUUACCUUAAAUUCUUUUUUUUUUAAUAUCUUUCCUUCUUGUUGAAGUGUUUAGUGUAAAUUUCUGAAAUAUUCAUUGGUACCCUGGUUAUGGUCAGUUCUUCUGCCUCAGAAGUGGAAGAUUUAAGUUCUAUAGCAGAGUGUCUUUCAUUAUAGUUAGAAAGGACUCUGAAUGAAGUAUAAUAACUUCAAAGUUAAAUGCCGUGCAAGCAUACACAAACAGCUUCCUGGACUCUAAUAUAAGCUGAAAGGAAAGGACAAAGGAAAUAUAGUUGAUAAACAAAACUUCCUCCUUUGCUUUUCUAGUCUAGUUGCAAAUCCAGCCAAGAAAUGUAAGGAGUUCAUUCAAAAAAACAAUUUUUACAUUUAGUUUUUCUAGAUUUUUUAAUUUUAUUUUUACAGGUAAUGGUCAAAUAAGUCCCAAAAUUUUUAAUGGCUUCAGAAUAACAAACAGUUCACUGGAAAGGUUGCCCAGAUAUGUUCUGUACUUAACAACUGAGCUUUUAUUUAAUUUUAUCUCAUAACAAUUACAAGAAAUCUUGAAUUAGGCUUUAUAAUAAGGAAAAAACAAGUUUGGUUUGAUAUGGAAUGUUAUAAAUCUACCACAUUCACUCUUCUGACUAUUUGUUUUACAGCUGGGAGGACCACGGCUGUAACUCAGAAUAGCGGAGAACAGCUAACAGGCUUGAGAGUAACAAAUGCCCUGGUAGAAAAGAGUGGGAUAACUAAAGAAUUGUUUUAGCAAUUUGAAGUGUGGAGGACAAGGGAAAGCUGAUGAUGAGGAAAGCUGAGGAAGAAGUCUGAAGAUCAGACACCAGAAAAGUUGCUAUUUAUAAGAUGGUAGGGGCUUGGAAAAGAAAUAGAGGAAUGUGAGCUGCUUCAGGGGUAACAGGAAUAAGAGACAGAAGAAACAGAGACAAAAUUUCUAGCCAAAGGCUAUCAGAGAAGGAGCAGAGCAGAAUAGGGGGAGUUUUCAGUCAUACAGAAGCAAGGUUCAGAAACAAUCUGAAUGUCUAGAACUUGAGCAGAUGUGAAGAAAUGAGACCCUUCUUCUCCAGCACCCCUGCACAGGUCAUGAACUGAAAUUUAACUAGAUUCAAAGAGCUGACUGGAUAAAAGGGACAACAUUUGGGGUCCCACAGAUCAUGGCAACAAUUAUUGUGAGGAUCGUCUCAGAGUCAAGCAUGCAAGCCAGAAGGCAACAUCUUUCCUUCCAUGAAGACUACUGGCAUAUAACUGCACUAUUUUAGUUCUGCAUUAUGGCUGGAAAUGUUUUCAGACUUUUCUCUUUAUUGAACGAUGAAACGCUUCAUUCAACUCGGGAAAAUGACCGAUCUUGGCAAUUGCUUACAGCACAGAGAGCAAGCAGCCACUCAUUCUUUUUUUUUUUUUCCCUGCAGCUCUGCUGCUCGUCCAGCAGGGGGAGAUACAGGAACAAGGAGCCAGUUUCUCUCAACGUCUAAAGAAAAAGACCUGGGAUCAUUUGUCAGGACAGUUCUCCUUUGUCUAAGCUACUGUACAACAGGUCAAAUACAAGACAUUUAUGAGACACUUAUUUACUAUCUUAGUUUAGUCUUCGUUUUGCAGAGGAGUAAAAGGUCUAUCAAGUAAUUAGACAGUGUUUUCCAGGCCCUGGUAUUGAGUGCUCAUCAAUAGUAAAUCAUCUGAGUUUCAGCUGUCAGUCAUUAAUAACUGAGUGCAUGUUUGAGCUGUGCAAAUCCAGGUAAAAGAGACAUAAAUGUGGUUGAAAGAGAAAGUAUAGAUUUGUUUAGCUUUUUAUUACUUAGUGCAGUAUUUUUAAGCAAACAGAAUAGUGCAACUAAGCAAAGGAAACUGAAAUGGCAGCCUACAUUAAUUGACUAUGCAUGAUAAUAGCUAUUUAACUAUGGAUAAAAGGAAGUUUAGCUAUCUAUUCAGCAUGUAAUUUUUCCUGUACCUUACCAGUGUGUUGGUCUGUUUCAUUACUAAAAUGUAUUCAUCAUGCUGUUGUA
Pseudopipra pipra is the source of this 5171-nucleotide long non-coding RNA. RefSeq lists it as uncharacterized. NCBI's taxonomy places the organism in Eukaryota, Metazoa, Chordata, Aves, Passeriformes, Pipridae. The transcript has 4 exons. The record is from RefSeq and is a predicted model, not a curated record.